AUAGAGUUUGAUCAUGGCUCAGGACGAACGCUGGCGGCGUGCUUAACACAUGCAAGUCGAACGGAGAUUCAGCAAUGGAUCUUAGUGGCGAACGGGUGAGUAACGCGUAGGCAAUCUGCCUUCUAGAUGGGGACAACAUCCCGAAAGGGGUGCUAAUACCGAAUGUUGUAGUUGGUCCGCAUGGACUAGCUACUAAAGGUGGCCUCUGAAUAUGCUACCGCUAGAAGAUGAGCCUGCGUCUGAUUAGCUAGUUGGAGGGGUAAUGGCCCACCAAGGCUUCGAUCAGUAGCCGGUCUGAGAGGAUGAACGGCCACACUGGGACUGAGACACGGCCCAGACUCCUACGGGAGGCAGCAGUGGGGAAUCUUCCGCAAUGGACGAAAGUCUGACGGAGCAACGCCGCGUGAGUGAAGAAGGUUUUCGGAUCGUAAAGCUCUUUCGUCAGGGACGAACGUAUUUCUUGU
This 464-nucleotide ribosomal RNA is filed under the name uncultured bacterium. RNAcentral's name for it is "bacterial SSU rRNA". It matches the Rfam family "Bacterial small subunit ribosomal RNA", at positions 1 to 461 of the family's 1533-position model. The record is from RNAcentral.